CCUACGGGAGGCAGCAGUGAGGAAUAUUGGUCAAUGGGCGGAAGCCUGAACCAGCCAAGUCGCGUGAGGGAAGAAGGCCCUGCGGGUCGCAGACCUCUUUGGACGGGGAGCAAGGCCGCCGACGUGUCGGCGGAAGGAGAGUACCCGUAGAACAAGCAUCGGCUAACUCCGUGCCAGCAGCCGCGGUAAUACGGAGGAUGCGAGCGUUAUCCGGAUUUAUUGGGUUUAAAGGGUGCGCAGGCGGAUUUUUAAGUCAGCGGUCAAAUCGUGGGGCUCAACCCCAUCCAGCCGUUGAAACUGGGGAU
This 305-nucleotide ribosomal RNA is filed under the name uncultured bacterium. RNAcentral describes it as "bacterial SSU rRNA". It matches the Rfam family "Bacterial small subunit ribosomal RNA", at positions 338 to 640 of the family's 1533-position model. The record is from RNAcentral.